Long non-coding RNA from Dromaius novaehollandiae (emu), 462 nucleotides. RefSeq lists it as uncharacterized. The transcript has 3 exons. The record is from RefSeq and is a predicted model, not a curated record. Lineage: Eukaryota; Metazoa; Chordata; Aves; Casuariiformes; Dromaiidae.
CAACUUGCCAACAGUCACAGUUUUAUCCUCUGGGAAGAAAUUCUGACGUUAUACUCAGGGCUUUGCUACAGCCAGGUCACUUCUGGUCACUUCUUCUCCCUCACCUGGCCCUGCAGCAGCCAGGAGAGCGCAUGCUGCCGUGCCGGCUCGCCGGGGGACCGGGAGGGUGGAAGCCCCACAGCCGUGAGGACAGCAGUGUGCUAACCCCCACAGCUGCUUCACCGCUCUCAUCUAACCACAGCCCUGGUCCCCACAGUCCAAUUAAGGUAUCAAGUUCCUUCCAGGCAAAGACAUUAUGUACUAUCCAGCCAUCUGGUCUCUAGGAAGGUGGAAGUCCUACAUAUACACAUGGUCCAUAGAGUAGUGCUACGUGUUUGUCUGUUGGGAAACUUCUGAAUGGUAAAAUCUGAGUGUUUGGGAAUUUUUUUUUUUUUCAAUUAAAAUACCAGUUGUAUUUCUCUC